Molecule: long non-coding RNA, 1852 nt
Organism: Lathyrus oleraceus (garden pea)
Lineage: Eukaryota; Viridiplantae; Streptophyta; Magnoliopsida; Fabales; Fabaceae
Exons: 2
Source: RefSeq, a predicted model, not a curated record
AGCAACCUUCGGCCCAUAGGCCCAAGCUGAAUGUUGCGAGCUCUACUUAACUCAGUAUGAAACUUCGUACGCGAAGACGCUUCAACUUCGCCACUUCUUCCACCUACAUCGUCUUCCCCGAUCUUGUGAACUGAAACGGACGCAACUAUGAACCAUUUCGCCCCCGGAAUAAGCACACGUCCAAGAAAUCUUCAGAUUAACAAAACCGAUACGAAGUCGAUGCGAACAAAGCGAAGAAAUAUGGAUUUGAAAACACCUCCAACAGUCGUGUUACACGUUAAACUCCAAAUUUGAACCAACUCCAAAUGCGCAGCAGCGAAAUGAAGCGAGCGACACAAGAAGAUGGUAGAGAACUUACCGGAUUCAGAUCGCGACGUAGUUGCGAAACAGGUAUCUCGCUUCUUCUUGGGUGCUUGCUAGGUUUUUGAUGGUUUUGCCUUGAUGUUUGCUUGCCAUGUAUGUGAAAAACUGGUCUGCUAUUGCAGGAUUAUGGUUCUUUCUUGAUUUUUAAUGUAUAAUUAUAUGUUGCAGGAUUGUUAGUGAUACCAUGGCAAUGUAUGAUUUGGGAUUGUGGUUUGUAAGGUGGAUGGCUCGAUUUUGGGAAAUGGUGUUAUCUGGUUUGCUUAAUGCUCAUUAUGCCUUGCUCAAAUUACUGCAGGUUCGAGCCCCAUCCAAGUUGGGUGCAAAUGCGAUAUUGGCUCAUAAGGAUGGUCACAACCGUUUUUUAUUUUGGACACAAACCAAAGCAACAAGCAAAAGUGAUUAGUAUGGUGUAUGAUAGUUAUGAUGCUGGUAUAAAAUUUAUGUUGAUCUGUUAUGAAGCUGCAGAAUUUGGUUAUGUGGUUAAUUCAUUUAGUGAGGAGGGUCUAGAAUGGAAUGAAGUUUUUGAUGUUAGUUUGCUUGGUUGGUCUGUAGCAUUUUUUUGGCAUUAUGCAAGAUGAUUGUAUGUGCAAUGUUAUGUUGGAUAAUGAACGUUAGUGAGCUAGCUUCAUGCUAAAUGAACUGGUGAUGAUCUUGUUAAAACCUAUGUUAUGAAUGCAAUGCUGUUAGUAUUUUGUUAUGCAGUUUGUAUUGUUAAUGCCGCAUGUUAUUGUUGUUCUGCUGAUGCACGUUGUUGUUAAUUGUUCAUGGCUUGAUUGAAUGCAGGGUUUAAGUGUAUGUUAUACUGAAUUGUUUUGCCUGCUGAUGAUAGGUUUGUGCUUGGCCUGCUUGAAUGAUGUUGUCAUGAUUGCAGGCUUAUGUGUUGCAUUACAAGUUUGUUGGAUUGAUUGUCAUGUUAAUAUGCAAUGUCAGUGUGUUGCCAGGCAGACUGCCUACUUGUGUUUACUGGUGAUGUUGUAUUACAUGCCAGGCUUGACGUUGUUCCCAUUAGUUGCCUAUGACCGAGUUGUUAGCAUGAAUGCUCAUCAUGAAAUUGGAUCGAUAUGUAGGGUUUUGAUGCCAUGUAUACUUGCCACAUUAACAUACUUGAAUGCACGUGUUUGCACUAUUGUAACUGAUUCAAUGAUUUGAUGCAUGACUGAAUGGAUGCAAGGCUAUGAAGCUUGGUCAUGUUUGACAUUUGGCAUGAAAUUUCAAGUGAGAUCAUGAUAAUGGUUUGAAGGAACAAUGGUUUGAAGGAACAAUGGUUAAUUGUUCAUGAAGAAAGAUGUUACCAUGCUAUCCAAUGGAAUGAAUGCAAGGAUGAAGACACAAUAGAUCCUUAGGAUUAGGAAUUUGGAAUUUUAGGUCAAUUGACCAAAAAGUCAACUUUGGUCAAAUUUGCAUUUUUUAUUUUGUAUUUUCUUGUAUGGAACUUGGAAAAGGAUGAUCAUAACAAUUAUAUGAAUGAAUGAAUAAUGUUUUGAAUUCA